RNAcentral lists this ribosomal RNA (269 nucleotides) under uncultured prokaryote. RNAcentral's name for it is "partial 16S ribosomal RNA". It matches the Rfam family "Bacterial small subunit ribosomal RNA", at positions 524 to 792 of the family's 1533-position model. The record is from RNAcentral.
UACGUAGGGGGCAAACGUUGCUCGGAAUUACUGGGCGUAAAGGGUGUGUAGGUGGCUGAGUAAGUCAAAGAUGAAAUCCCUAGGCUCAACCUAGGAAUUGUUUUUGAAACUGCUCAACUUGAGGAUAGUUGAGGUGAAUGGAAUUCCCGGUGGAGCGGUGAAAUGCGUAGAUAUCGGGAGGAACACCAGAGGCGAAGGCGGUUCUCUGAGCUAUUCCUGACACUGAAACACGAAAGCUAGGGGAGCAAACGGGAUUAGAUACCCUCGUA